CUUGUCUUCGGAACCCUAUUGUUGAUUAAGAUUCAGUUUGAAACCUUCAAUUUAUCUUGCAAAUUCAGUGCUUGUUUCCUCAUUCUUGCUAGUUCUUCGAUUGCUUGCAGGACGGGAGCCCUAGGGGCUGGUUGUCGCGUUCCACCAGAUCGUGACGGCUAUUGGACGUGGUGUAUCGGUUGCUAAGGCACGGUCUUGAGGGCUGUAGUCGGGCCAUGAACGUCAUCUCCAUCCACCAAUCGAGUUAUCCCCGUCUCUCAUCAAAAGAUCGGGCAAAAACCCUAGCGGGUACGCAUCAGUUGGUAAUCAGAGCAAGGUUCUUCGGUGAGAGACUUCUAAUCCUUUGUUGUUUUUAAUUAAUUUCCUACAGUCCAGAAAAGCCAAAAAAAUAUAGUAGAUUAGUUUUUCCAUAAUCCUAUUAAACCUUUGUGCCUUGGCUAGUAUCGUUUUAGUUAGGGCUUGUUCAAUUUGCGUUGCUUCGGUUUGUGUCGAGUUGCUGGUCUUAGUGUCGAGUCCUUUAGAGUUUCGAGUUCUUGUCACCAUCUAUACACAACCGAGUAUUACCAUAUCUUCUCUCUGUCGAAUCUGUUGCGAAGUCCGAAUUGAACUGUGGUCUUGGUCCAGAUCGAGUAGAGUUCCAAUCUGAGUUCCACCAACGUGAUAAAAAAAGAAGGAAACCGAGUAGAACUCGGCAAUAGGUGGAAUCCGUUUUGUGGUUGGUUCUGAGUGGAAACCGAAUAGAACUUGGAGUCCGCUUGUUAAUACAGCCUUAACUCCGUCUAUGUGAGUCCUUCUGUGAUCCAAAAAGAAAGAUAACUCCAUACUUGUUCGGCCUUACCGGAAUACCCUGUACUUUCGGAAAAAAAAGUGUGUGUAGCGAAUUGCUCUUUUGUAUUCUUUUGUUCAUAUAAUCCGUUUUUGAGGUUGCCCAAAAAAAAGAAAAAAAAGAAAAGAGAAAAGAUUCAAAAAAAGGGGCUGUUUUUCAUAUUGAUUUUAGGUUUGUUCCACCUUGUUUUCGGGGGUGUGCUGUGGUUUUCCUUUGUGUCCAGGCUCGCGUCUCUGACACGGUCUAGCCUAGGACCAGCACAGUACCAUCGUCGAAUGCUUAUUCAGCUCGCUUUUAUAACUAGAUGGUGCUAGUUCGUUCCUUGUUUCAGCCCACCUAUAGCUCCACAUACUCUACAG
Molecule: long non-coding RNA, 1185 nt
Filed under: Sorghum bicolor (sorghum)
Lineage: Eukaryota; Viridiplantae; Streptophyta; Magnoliopsida; Poales; Poaceae
Description: long non-coding RNA (SBIC_LNC018464)
Source: RNAcentral